AGCGAACGCUGGCGGUAGGCCUAACACAUGCAAGUCGAACGGCAGCACAGUAAGAGCUUGCUCUUACGGGGGGCGAGAGGCGGACGGGUGAGGAAUACAUCGGAAUCUACUUUUUCGUGGGGGAUAACGUAGGGAAACUUACGCUAAUACCGCAUACGACCUACGGGUGAAAGCAGGGGAUCUUCGCACCUUGCGCGAAUGAAUGAGCCGAUGUCGGACUUGCUAGUUGGCGGGGUAAAGGCCCACCAAGUCGACGAUCGGUAGCUGGUCUGAGAGGACGGUCGGCCACACGGGAGCUGAGACACGGUCCAGACUCCUACGGUACGGAGCAGUGUGGAAUAUUGGACAAUGGGGGCGAACAUGCUCCAGCCAUACCGCGUGUGUGAAAACGGCCUUCGGUUUGUGAAGCCCUUUUGUUGGGAAAAAAAAGCAGCCGGUUAUGACGCCGCGGGUCUGACGGUACCCAAAGAAUAAGCACCGGCUAACUUCGUG
This 492-nucleotide ribosomal RNA is filed under the name uncultured bacterium. Its description in RNAcentral is "partial 16S ribosomal RNA". It matches the Rfam family "Bacterial small subunit ribosomal RNA", at positions 29 to 507 of the family's 1533-position model. The record is from RNAcentral.